This 769-nucleotide long non-coding RNA is filed under the name Pandoravirus neocaledonia. RNAcentral describes it as "hypothetical ncRNA". The record is from RNAcentral.
CCGUGGCUGCGAUCUGUGGGUCCUGCAGUGAGCCACUUGUACCACUCGCGCGCUCGGCUGCGCACGCUGCCCAAACGCGAGUCGGCGAUGACGUCGUCAAUGGGAAAGAGAGACACGCCAGUGCCGCAAGGGUCGGGCACAGUGCGCAGCUGUUCGCCGAUACCGCGCCAACGCGCCCAGAGGGGCUGGGAAAAGAGAAGACGCACUAGACCUUCCAUCAGGCGCGAGAGCACCGUAGCGCGUGCGUCGCGGCCUCCGAGCGCAACGCACGCGCGCACAUAGUCGGCGGCAGUCGGUGUGGCCCCCUCGGCAACUUUUAAAAAGUGACAUGCGUGCGCGAGUCUCGGCAAGAGACUGUCGAGCACCAUGGCCUGCUGUCGACUCGCCGCCGCCAGACGCAACGCCGACUGGGGGUCGCAUUCCACCAAAUGCCAGGAGACGGCGCACUGCAAUUCAACGGCAAUGACGCACUCAUAGUCGUACAUGCGGUCGGUGCGUGACUUCUCCUUGUUGAUGGUUAUCGUAUGUGUUGUGUGCAUGGAUUCCGCUCAGCGGCUAUAGUCACAAAGCACCCAACAGGAGCGGCCCCAUGAGCACGAUCUUUUUCUAUUCGGCGCUGCCAAAUGGGCACGCCACUGGCGCCACGAGGCAACCCCGGUCUCCCGCGCCGAUUAAAAUAUGAUGCGCUUUCUUGUCCGUGCGUCCCACAGCCGACAAACUCUCAAAUUGGGGCAAAAACAAAGUCAUAAAAAUGUCAAGAUAUCGUCCC